AUUGAACGCUGGCGGAAUGCUUUACACAUGCAAGUCGAACGGCAGCACGGGUGCUUGCACCUGGUGGCGAGUGGCGAACGGGUGAGUAACAUAUCGGAACGUACCCAGUAAUGGGGGAUAACUAGUCGAAAGAUUAGCUAAUACCGCUUACGCCCUGAGGGGGAAAGCGGGGAUCGUAAGACCUCGCGUUAUUGGAGCGGCCGAUAUCUGAUUAGCUAGUUGGUGGGGUAAAGGCCUACCAAGGCGACGAUCAGUAGCUGGUCUGAGAGGACGACCAGCCACACUGGAACUGAGACACGGUCCAGACUCCUACGGGAGGCAGCAGUGGGGAAUUUUGGACAAUGGGCGUAAGCCUGAUCCAGCCAUUCCGCGUGAGUGAAGAAGGCCUCGGGUCGUAAAGCUCUUUCGCAAGGGAAGAAACGAUACGAGCGAAUAACUCGUGUUAAUGACGGUACCUUGAUAAGAAGCACCGGCUAACUACGUGCCAGCAGCCGCGGUAAUACGUAGGGUGCGAGCGUUAAUCGGAAUUACUGGGCGUAAAGCGUGCGCAGGCGGUUUUGUAAGUCAGAUGUGAAAUCCCCGGGCUCAACCUGGGAACUGCGUUUGAAACUACAAGGCUAGAGUAUAGGAGAGGGGGGUAGAAUUCCACGUGUAGCAGUGAAAUGCGUAGAGAUGUGGAGGAAUACCAAUGGCGAAGGCAGCCCCUGGCCUAAUACUGACGCUCAUGCACGAAAGCGUGGGGAGCAAACAGGAUUAGAUA
Molecule: ribosomal RNA, 760 nt
Filed under: uncultured bacterium
Lineage: Bacteria
Description: bacterial SSU rRNA
Rfam family: Bacterial small subunit ribosomal RNA
Source: RNAcentral